UGACCGGUUCCUCUCUUCGGGGAGCUAAAAGGCCAUGCGGACAGCCGGGUCAAAUGCCGA
This 60-nucleotide small RNA is filed under the name unclassified sequences. RNAcentral describes it as "Streptococcus sRNA SpF59 (ldcC RNA)". It matches the Rfam family "Streptococcus sRNA SpF59 (ldcC RNA)". The record is from Rfam by way of RNAcentral.